UUUCAAUUGCAUUAACCCAUUUUUUCCAGAUUGGUAUUAAAAAAAAAACUAUAAAUAACAUUUAAUGGGCUUCCAUACAAUAAAGGAUAUAAAAUAAAGAGGAAAAAUAUAAAAUAAAGAUUUAAAUAUUAUUAUUUUGUACAUAAAAUCAAGAUUUUGUUAUCGAUACGUAUAGUAUAGAAAUAUAAUUUAUUUCUCACGACAUUUUGAUAGUAGCGAAAAAUAUAAUAAUAAAUUAAAUAAAAAUAUAACUAGAUUCGCCUUAUUCUCUCAUAAAUAAUAUCUAUUUUCGAUCUUUUUCGCAAAAAAAAAUAAUAAUUGCCAUCAAUGUUAUGUUUUUGACUAAAUAAUAUUAGAUUCGAGAGUUUGUAAAAUGCAUAUAUGCAUCUAAUAUUCGAUAUGAAACACAUAAAGAGAAUUACAUACCAGAACCAGGAAAAUGUAGUGCAUUUGAUAUAUAUCGGAUCACGUGUGUUUAUACUUUGCGUGUAUGUACUGCUUUGCAAUGAAUAUGAAAUAAUAAUUUUGAGGUCACUUGAUUGCUUUAAUAGCACGGUCUCCAAGUAUUACAAAGUUUUACUUUACACAAACGUUUCCAUGGCAACAUCUGUUACAUCUCUUUCCAUGUGAACUCGCUGAUUCAAAUAUUCGAAAAUUUAAUUUCCAUUUUUUUUUUUUUUAAUUUAAAACCAAAUAAUUGAUUUUUUUCUAUCAGUUAUAACAUUUACUGAAACCUGCAAGUCCAAAAAAAUUAAAAAUAAAAAAAAUUUUAUAAAAAAAUAAAAUUUAAAUUAAUUUCAAUUUAAUUGCAAUAAAAAAUACAAAUGUAACAUAUGUGUGAAGCCAUUUGUGAAAUGAAAAUCGAGAAGAAAUAAAAUAAUCCGCGCGCCACCGAAACAAGUGAAAAUUGAAAUUUAAUAUUAAAAUCUUUUCAUGUGGGAAAAAAAAUUUGCGGGCUUUGAAUAAAAAGAAGGCAAAUGAAAAUUGAAAUUUACCUUGGAGGAUAUACUCUCCAGGUAAAUUCUCAACUUUAGUCGUCUCUCUUCUUAAUACUUUUGGCUAAAACAACUUUUCUCACAAAGUUUUGUGAUUUUCAUGCUUUUUUUUUGUAUUCCCAAAGUAAUGCGCAGAACAAUUUAAACUUUCUAAAGGACGAAACUUCCGGUAUCCACUCUUCAUUAGACAUGAUAAAAAGUGUUUUUUACUGUCUUCUCAUAAUAUAUUUUUUCCUCAAUAAUGUUUUGAAUACAAUUUAAACAAACAUUUAAAUUUAAAAAAAUUACCUAAUUAAUUUUCAAAUUUCACAAGAAUUUUAUUUUAAAUCAAAGCUCUGUCAUCAAUCACCACAGAAAUUAAUUCAAUUAAACGACCACUUGUCACAUUAUUAUUAACCAAAAUAAUUAUUUCACUCAAUAUUGGAAAAUUCUAAUUAAUUUCAGUUUUGAAUUAUAAUCGACUGUAAUAAAAAAAAUCUGCGAAUUAAUAAAAAAUUGAUAUCACGAAAGCCUUUAGCGCGCGAGUUGACAUAAUAACAUUUUUUUCCACUUUUCUUUUUCUCGACUUAUUUCCACAAGAGUCACGAGAUUAGUUUUAACAAAAAAAAUUACAUAUAGUUAUAGUAAGUAUAUUAUAUUAAGUGCGGUGAUAUGUCUCAAAAAAAAAAAAAUAAAUAAAUAAAAUUAGACUUUGUCAAAUAUUAGAUAGUUUAUGUACGAUUGUAGAAAUUUUGACAAUGCAAAAAAAAAGAUCUUUGACUCAAUAAUAUAUUGAUAUAGUCGAUCAAAUGAAAAACACACUUUAGUCAAUUCUUUAAUGUUAGGCAGUUGAUAUUAAUAAAAAUAAAAAAAAAUCUUCGUCAUACAAGUCGCGAAAAAAUUUAGAAUUAAAGAACUUAAGAUAUCAAAACGGUUUUCGUAGAGACAAAAAAAAUAUCCUUAAAAAAAAUAAUAAUAGUAUUUAGAUUUGUAAUUCGUUUUUCCAUUUCAUUUCUCCUCGUCAACUCAAUGAAUUUGACGAUUCCAUUUAUGUUCCAACGAAAAUUAUUAUCGAUUUAUCCCGCCACCCCACAAAAAAUUCGAUUUCGCGCCGAAAUUUGUACUGUAUAACCAAUUUCCUGUCCUAAGUUCAAUAUUGAACAAAGAUUUUUCAAUUUUCAACGAAAAGCAAAAUUUUCUGUAAUUAAUUUCAUAUUACGUUUAUAAAAUAUACAUUUUAUUAUUAUAUAUAAAAAUAUAUUUUAUUUUUUAGUUAAUAUAUAAAUAAUAUAUGUAUAUGUUAAUUUGUAUAUUUAUUGUUAAACGUUAAAAGUGUAAAAAAGAAAAUUUAUCAAUUUAGGGAAAUAUCUCGAAAAAAAAACUUCCUCGAAUGGUUGUUAUUAGUCGAUUAUAUUUAAUUUAAAUAUACUGCCGACUUUGUGAAUGUAUCAUUUUUUGAGUUUAGAAUACAAAAAAUUUGGAAACAUCAAAUCAGUGACUGAUUAUUUUCUGUCUGAUAUAAAAAAUGACACCAUUUUUUAAAAAUAAAUCUUCAUUAUCGAUAAUUAAUCGUUUUAUUAAUUAAUAAUUGAUAGUUUGUAGUAUUUACAAUUAUUUAUAAAUUUAAAUUACUUUAUUGAAAAAAUUCUUGUCACUGAUUUUGCUGUAUGAAUAUCAAUAAGUUUGUUAUUUAUUUAAACGAAAAAGGGGGAAAAAAUGAAAUUAUCUUAGUCGGUACGUCGCUAUUUAAAUAAAAAAAAAAUCAACGUCAUAGACGUAUUUGUGUAAUAUCACUGCUCGCCAUAUGCUCAAAGUAACACCAUUUGAACGUAAGUUGUGUAUUUAGAUACGACAUGACACUCGAGCUUUUUGUGAACGUUUCCUUCCGUAAAUCGUAUAUAUAAAUAAAUAUAUAUAUAAUAGGUAUAAUCACAAUUUUCAGGUUGAAUUAAAAAAUCAUAAAAAAAAUUUUAUUACGAUUGCUCCUGUUAAAUAAUUAAUGAGAAUGUUAAACAAACAAACAAAAAAAGUCGUUAAUCGUCUUAAAGAGUUUUUUUCUUUAUAAAAAAAAAGAAACUCGCGUCGAUUAUUUGGAAUAAUGAGUGAUCUAAUAUUAUUGUAUUGUUGGCAGUUUUCCACGAAACUAGUGGCGAUAUCAAUAAACUUUAACGACAUCCGAUUUUGAAUCAUGUA
Leptopilina boulardi is the source of this 3167-nucleotide long non-coding RNA. RefSeq lists it as uncharacterized. The transcript is spliced from 2 exons. NCBI's taxonomy places the organism in Eukaryota, Metazoa, Arthropoda, Insecta, Hymenoptera, Figitidae. The record is from RefSeq and is a predicted model, not a curated record.